GAGACAAGUGGGCUAGUUACUACUGUUCAACAAACAGGAAGUGGACAAAGUCAUUCCUUGUGUUCUCUGUCAGUAGUCUUUGAACCUGAGAUGCAAAGAUACUUGUGGGACCAGAGAGGGCUUGGAAAAAUCCUGGGAAUAAUGUGCACAUGAGAAUGAGAGGAUUCAGGCGUUCUUUGGACCUUGAAUGGGGACUCUGAACCUGAAAUGGUUCAGAACCAGUUUAGAGAGCAAGCCAGCUGGAGUCCUAACUGGAGCUCUGGUUUCAGGGUUUGUGUAGAUCUCAGGACGACAAGGGAUGUGGCAGGAUGGGUAGAUGCAGGUGAAUACAUGACUUGGCAGCUCCUUAACUUUUAUCCAGCUACCUGUUUGCAGCCCCCUACUACUAUGGCUUCUACAACAACCGACUGCAGGCAUACUGCAAGCAGAACCUCGAGAUGAAUGUAACAGUGCAGAAUGUGCUGCAGGUAAUGCUUAAUACCCAUGGACAUGCGCUCCUCCGGGUUGAGCUGGGGCAGGGCCUCAUGGUUCCUGCCAUUGCAGAUUCUGGAGGCAGCUGACAAGACACAGGCACUGGACAUGAAGCGGCACUGCUUGCACAUCAUUGUACACCAAUUCACUAAGGUCAGGCUCUGGCUCUCCCCAGCAGGCCUGGGCACCUCUUGGCCAUUGCCCACUGUCCUUAGACAGCCUAGGCCGGAGCAGGCUGGGCCCCAAGAGGACUUCUCUGCCCACCCUGGUCCUCCUGGGAUUCUCGUUUCAUCUAGUUUUGGUCAUCUGUGCAGGUCUCUAAGCUGCCCACACUGCGGCUGCUGAGCCAGCAGCUGCUGCUGGACAUCAUAGACUCCCUGGCCUCCCAUAUCUCUGACAAGCAGUG
This 877-nucleotide long non-coding RNA is filed under the name Rattus norvegicus (Norway rat). Its description in RNAcentral is "long non-coding RNA NONRATT006752". Lineage: Eukaryota; Metazoa; Chordata; Mammalia; Rodentia; Muridae. The record is from RNAcentral.